Molecule: ribosomal RNA, 578 nt
Filed under: uncultured bacterium
Lineage: Bacteria
Description: partial 16S ribosomal RNA
Rfam family: Bacterial small subunit ribosomal RNA
Source: RNAcentral
UGGGGAAUUUUGGACAAUGGGCGAAAGCCUGAUCCAGCAAUGCCGCGUGUGUGAAGAAGGCCUUCGGGUUGUAAAGCACUUUUGUCCGGAAAGAAAUCCUUGGCUCUAAUACAGCCGGGGGAUGACGGUACCGGAAGAAUAAGCACCGGCUAACUACGUGCCAGCAGCCGCGGUAAUACGUAGGGUGCAAGCGUUAAUCGGAAUUACUGGGCGUAAAGCGUGCGCAGGCGGUUUGCUAAGACCGAUGUGAAGUCCCCGGGCUCAACCUGGGAACUGCAUUGGUGACUGGCAGGCUAGAGUAUGGCAGAGGGGGGUAGAAUUCCACGUGUAGCAGUGAAAUGCGUAGAGAUGUGGAGGAAUACCGAUGGCGAAGGCAGCCCCCUGGGCCAAUACUGACGCUCAUGCACGAAAGCGUGGGGAGCAAACAGGAUUAGAUACCCUGGUAGUCCACGCCCUAAACGAUGUCAACUAGUUGUUGGGGGUUCAUUUCCUUAGUAACGUAGCUAACGCGUGAAGUUGACCGCCUGGGGAGUACGGUCGCAAGAUUAAAACUCAAAUGAAUUGACGGGGUCAUAGCU